CCUACGGGGGGCUGCAGUCAAGAAUAUUCGGCAAUGGACGAAAGUCUGACCGAGCGACGCCGCGUGACUGACGAAGUCCUUCGGGAUGUAAAGGUCUUUUAUCAGGGACGAACUAUGACGGUACCUGAAGAAUAAGGGGUUGCUAACUCUGUGCCAGCAGCAGCGGUAAUACAGAGACCUCAAGCGUUAUCCGGAUUGAUUGGGCGUAAAGAGUGCGCAGACGGCUUUGUAAGUCUAUGGUUAAACUCCGGGGCUCAACCUCGGAACUGCCACGG
This 275-nucleotide ribosomal RNA is filed under the name uncultured bacterium. Its description in RNAcentral is "partial 16S ribosomal RNA". It matches the Rfam family "Bacterial small subunit ribosomal RNA", at positions 338 to 629 of the family's 1533-position model. The record is from RNAcentral.